GACGGGGGAUGCAAGUGUUAUCCGGAAUCACUGGGCGUAAAGCGUCUGCAGGUGGUUUCCUAAGUCCACUGUUAAACCUUGAGGCUCAACCUCAAAUCUGCAUUGGAAACUAGGAGACUUGAGUAUAGUAGGGGUAGAGGGAAUUUCCAGUGGAGCGGCGAAAUGCGUAGAUAUUGGAAAGAACACCGAUGGCGAAGGCACUCUACUGGGCUAUUACUGACACUCAGAGACGAAAGCUAGGGGAGCAAAUGGG
RNAcentral lists this ribosomal RNA (253 nucleotides) under uncultured bacterium. Its description in RNAcentral is "partial 16S ribosomal RNA". It matches the Rfam family "Bacterial small subunit ribosomal RNA", at positions 524 to 776 of the family's 1533-position model. The record is from RNAcentral.